This 364-nucleotide unclassified non-coding RNA is filed under the name uncultured bacterium. RNAcentral describes it as "contains 16S-23S intergenic spacer region". The record is from RNAcentral.
UCCCCGUUAGCCGGGGCAGUCUCGCUUGAAAAAUACAACAAACGAUAAGGGUUGCGCUCGUUGCGGGACUUAACCCAACAUCUCACGACACGAGCUGACGACGGCCAUGCAGCACCUGUCACUAGGCUCCCGAAGGCACUCCCCUAUUUCUAGGGGAUUCCUAGGAUGUCAAGCCUCGGUAAGGUUCUUCGCGUAGCUUCGAAUUAAACCACAUGCUCCACCGCUUGUGCGGGUCCCCGUCAAUUCCUUUGAGUUUUAGCCUUGCGGCCGUACUCCCCAGGCGGGAUGCUUAACGCGUUAGCUUCUUAGCACAAAGGGUCGAUACUUCAUACUAAUAGCAUCCAUCGUUUACGGCGUGGACUAC